Molecule: ribosomal RNA, 253 nt
Filed under: uncultured bacterium
Lineage: Bacteria
Description: partial 16S ribosomal RNA
Rfam family: Bacterial small subunit ribosomal RNA
Source: RNAcentral
UACGGAGGGUGCAAGCGUUAAUCGGAAUUACUGGGCGUAAAGCGUGCGCAGGCGGUUCGCUAAGACAGAUGUGAAAUCCCCGGGCUUAACCUGGGAACUGCAUUUGUGACUGGCGGGCUAGAGUAUGGCAGAGGGGGGUAGAAUUCCACGUGUAGCAGUGAAAUGCGUAGAGAUGUGGAGGAAUACCGAUGGCGAAGGCGGCGCUCUGGACCGAGACUGACGCUGAGGCGCGAAAGCGUGGGGAGCAAACAGG